AACGAACGCUGGCGGCAUGCCUAACACAUGCAAGUCGAACGAGACCUUCGGGUCUAGUGGCGCACGGGUGCGUAACGCGUGGGAAUCUGCCCUUGGGUUCGGAAUAACAGUUGGAAACGACUGCUAAUACCGGAUGAUGACGUAAGCCCAAAGAUUUAUCGCCCAGGGAUGAGCCCGCGUAGGAUUAGCUAGUUGGUGGGGUAAAGGCCUACCAAGGCGACGAUCCUUAGCUGGUCUGAGAGGAUGAUCAGCCACACUGGGACUGAGACACGGCCCAGACUCCUACGGGAGGCAGCAGUGGGGAAUAUUGGACAAUGGGCGAAAGCCUGAUCCAGCAAUGCCGCGUGAGUGAUGAAGGCCUUAGGGUUGUAAAGCUCUUUUACCCGGGAUGAUAAUGACAGUACCGGGAGAAUAAGCCCCGGCUAACUCCGUG
Molecule: ribosomal RNA, 433 nt
Filed under: uncultured bacterium
Lineage: Bacteria
Description: partial 16S ribosomal RNA
Rfam family: Bacterial small subunit ribosomal RNA
Source: RNAcentral